Carassius gibelio (silver crucian carp) is the source of this 550-nucleotide long non-coding RNA. RefSeq lists it as uncharacterized. The record is from RefSeq and is a predicted model, not a curated record. The transcript is spliced from 3 exons. Lineage: Eukaryota; Metazoa; Chordata; Actinopteri; Cypriniformes; Cyprinidae.
AGAAGUCAAGGAACUCUGGGAGGAAUGUCAGGAAUUCUUCAAACAGACCUUCAAAGCAACCUUUGCUACCAUUGGCUGUCUCUGUACCUCUGCACAAUACUGAAGAGCUUGAGACUGCAGAGGAGAUUUUUACAAUCCAGUGAAGCAAAGCAAAUGAUAGUGAGACACUUUAGCAUAAUUGGAGGAACCUAACUGGAAAUGAGGGUCCAUCGCAUGCUUUCCUGUGCACUGACCAAUGAGCUGGCAUUAUCAAUCAAUUGGGCUGGGAAGAUGGUUAAAGAGCAGUCAAGGCAAAAGAGGGCAUUCAAGGAUACUUUCUUGAAUAUGGGUAUAUUUGAUGCUUUGACUUUGCAGAUGGGUGUGGGAAAAGUUUCCCAAUAUGAAAACAUUCAGGCAGACCAGAAAUGGCUCCGAUAUGCACCGUAAAGUAUGGGCGGAACUGUACAUCAAACAACUACAACUGUUCCUUUGGUGCCUCCAGAAACGAAUUAAUUUUGUCCUCUUUUUUUUUUUUUCACGACAUAAUAUGAAGUGCUUUCAGUUGAUUGAA